Molecule: ribosomal RNA, 303 nt
Filed under: uncultured bacterium
Lineage: Bacteria
Description: partial 16S ribosomal RNA
Rfam family: Bacterial small subunit ribosomal RNA
Source: RNAcentral
AGCAGUAGCCGCGGUAAUACGUAGGUGGCGAGCGUUGUCCGGAAUCAUUGGGCGUAAAGGGAGCGCAGGCGGGCAUGUAAGUCUUUCUUAAAAGUUCGGGGCUCAACCCAGUGAUGGGAAAGAAACUACAUGUCUUGAGUACAGGAGAGGAAAGCGGAAUUCCUAGUGUAGCGGUGAAAUGCGUAGAUAUUGGGAGGAACACCAGUGGCGAAGGCGGCUUCCUGGACUGCAACAGACGCUGAGGCUCGAAAGCCAGGGGAGCGAACGGGAUUAGAUACCCCAGUAGUCCCUGUCUCUUAUACA